This 506-nucleotide ribosomal RNA is filed under the name uncultured Glomus. RNAcentral describes it as "SSU rRNA". It matches the Rfam family "Eukaryotic small subunit ribosomal RNA", at positions 569 to 1077 of the family's 1831-position model. The record is from RNAcentral. Lineage: Eukaryota; Fungi; Glomeromycota; Glomeromycetes; Glomerales; Glomeraceae.
AGCAGCCGCGGUAAUUCCAGCUCCAAUAGCGUAUAUUAAAGUUGUUGCAGUUAAAAAGCUCGUAGUUGAAUUUCGGGGUCAGUAGGUUGGUCAUGCCUCCGGUAUGCACUGGUCUCACUGAUUCCUCCUUCCUGAUGAGCCGUAAUGCCAUUAAUUUGGUGUUGCGGGGAAUCUGGACUGUUACUUUGAAAAAAUUGAGUGUUUAAAGCAAGCUAACGCUUGAAUACAUUAGCAUGGAAUAAUGGAAUAGGACGUUCGAUCCUAUUUUGUUGGUUUCUAGGAUUGACGUAAUGAUUAAUAGGGAUAGUUGGGGGCAUUAGUAUUCAAUUGUCAGAGGUGAAAUUCUUGGAUUUAUUGAAGACUAACUACUGCGAAAGCAUUUUGCCAAGGAUGUUUUUCAUUAAUCAAGAACGAAAGUUAGGGGAUCGAAGACGAUCAGAUACCGUCGUAGUCUUUAACCAUAAACUAUGCCGACUAGGGAUCGGAUGAUGUUAAUUUUUUAAUGA